Trichechus manatus latirostris (Florida manatee) is the source of this 2352-nucleotide RNA transcript. It is a transcript of the gene named cytochrome b5, with no coding region annotated. The record is from RefSeq and is a predicted model, not a curated record. The transcript is spliced from 7 exons. NCBI's taxonomy places the organism in Eukaryota, Metazoa, Chordata, Mammalia, Sirenia, Trichechidae.
GCUGCGUAACCUCCGGCAUGCCCCGCCUCCGGCAUGCCCCGCCCCCGGCCGCAGCCAAUCAGCCGCCAGCGCAGGUUGGGACGGGGCGUGCCCGAGGGGCGGGGCGCCCUCCACUGGCAAGCGGCGCGACCAAUCAGCGCGGGCUCUGCCCCCGGCCGCCCCGCUCCACGCGGCCACUGCGCCUUUUCCGGAGAGGGGCGCGGGGUGUCCGGCCGGAGUGGCUGAGUAACUCUGUUGUGCGCGGAGGUUGGUGCGUGUGGGGGCGCGGGUUCGCAUUUUCGAGAUGGCUGAGCCGUCGGACAAGGCCGUGAAGUACUACACCCUAGACGAGAUCAAGAAGCACAACCACGCCAAGAGCACCUGGGUCAUCCUGCACCACAAAGUCUACGACGUGACCAAGUUCCUGGACGAGCAUCCUGGUGGGGAAGAAGUCUUAAGGGAACAAGCUGGCGGUGAUGCUACCGAGAACUUUGAGGAUGUUGGGCACUCCACAGAUGCUAGAGAAAUGUCCAAAGCAUACAUCAUUGGGGAGCUUCAUCCAGAUGACAGAUCAAAGCUAGCCAAACCUUCGAUAACUUAAAAUCUGAUUGCUAGAAGUCUUAUGAAUUCUUUGAGGACACUACCCAUGUCUUCUUCAUCUUUACAUCUCUGAACAUAGUAGGUGCUCAGACUCUUAAAGGUGAUGUUCCAAGGAAAGUCUUAUUACUACUAUUGAUUCUAAUUCCAGUUGGUGGACCAAUUGGGUGAUCCCAGCCAUCUCGGCACUGAUUGUAGCCCUGAUGUACCACCUCUACACAGCGGAAGACUAAUCCCUUCCCAGAAGCUAAUGAAAGAAAAGACUGCUUCAGACACGGGAUAGAGAAGCCAAUGUAACGGUCUACUGGGAGUGACAGAAACGUCCACUGAAAAAUGAUUGUAAUGUGUCUGUCUCUCUUUUUCCUACAUUAGAAACAAAACAAAAAGAGCCAUUCUGUUCUUUCUACUCUUGAACUUUUCUUUUAGAGAAUGCCUUUUUAUUCACAAACAUAAUUUUGAUGUUUCCCACUACAUAAUUCAGUUAUUGUGCUAAGUAUGACCAUUUUAAAAUACACCUGACUUUGAAAAUACCCCACCAAGCUUGCCUGUCUAGUUGGCAUGUAAUUCUCUUUGAUUUUCAGAAUCCUUGGUUAUUUAGCAGGAUCCGUUAGUACACUGGUCCUUCAGACCUGAUGGCAAGUGUGACUCGGGGUGAGGGGGCAGCCUGUGCGUCUCUCCUGCGCAUCUUUGUAUUUCAUCAAAUAACCCAAGUAUCUCAUGUUUCCAAUGUGGUGGCUUCAUCAAGGAAAUUAAGAACGGCCCAGAAAGUAUAGCUUAAAGGUUUCUAAAAUUGUUUUACCUGACAUGGAUGAUAAAAAGCAAAGGUGGCCUAGAGGACCCAUAAAAGAGACUUCAACUCUUCCUUGAUUAGGAACACCAAUGACAUAAACAAACACCUGUGAACUCUGAGAGAAAAUUAUAACUGCACAUUUUCUCAACUUAACAGUAUCCUUCCAUUAUAUCUGUCCAUUUUCUCAGCUUAACAGUAUGCUUCCAAAGAGUUUCUCAGUUUUGUGGUUUCUAAAGUUUUAAAAGUUCCUCAUUAGAGGUAAAAAGUGUUCUUUACUCUUCUAAGGAAAUGUUGCUUCCUCGAUUUGUAAAAACAGAGCUGUGAAGGAGAUUAUGGUUCAUUUGGUAUCUGAUCUUUGAAGACAUGCUGCUGCCAGCGAGUGAGUCACCGGGAGUCUGUGCGGCUCUGUCCACCUUCCCACUGCAGCUCAGGCCCGGCCGACUAGGUCAUCUCGUCUUCCAUUUACUCUUCUCUGCCCCAUCCUUUUUUUCCUUUAAACGUGGAAAAUUGAGGGAUGGAUUUUUUAGACCCUAAAUACUUUGUAGUUAACCAUGAUCACAUGUGUUCCCAUUGGCACAUAAGCCACAUGAGCAGUGGAGUUCUUCAGAAAUGGCUAAAACUGUGGGAUAGAAUUUUGUACUAUUACUACAAAGUUAGAUUUUUAUAAUCAAUGGCAUGCAUCCUCCAUACUCUGCCUUCUUUGUCACUGAAACUUAGAGUGAAUGUAGGCAAAGGUGUGGGGAAAGAUGGCUGUGUUGCAAGUGAAAAUUUAUCUUGCAGAAGAAUUCUUUACUCAAAUUUUAAUAAACAAAAUCAUGCCUCUUAUAAUGGAUUUGAAGUGGAGUGCUUUGAAACAAACUUAGGAGUUUUACUCACAGAUAAUAAAACUCAGUAAGCUCUGACAUAUACAUGCAGUUACACAUAUUUAAUCAUGGGUAGGUCAGUAGCUUACUAAAAAAAUGACACGUGCCUUGAUACUGUGUUUU